This 259-nucleotide ribosomal RNA is filed under the name Roussoella pseudohysterioides. RNAcentral describes it as "partial 18S ribosomal RNA". The stretch from base 1 to 216 matches the Rfam family "Group I catalytic intron", at positions 69 to 253 of the family's 253-position model. Rfam says of the family: Group I catalytic introns are large self-splicing ribozymes. The record is from RNAcentral. Lineage: Eukaryota; Fungi; Ascomycota; Dothideomycetes; Pleosporales; Thyridariaceae.
CCCUUCACACCAAACCAGUCUGGGAAACCUGCUGGCGGCCCGUUCUAACCCACGGGGAAUGGUGACAGAGGAAGGGAUAUUGCAAUGGGCGAUCCGCAGCGAAGCCCCUACAGCCGCCCGUGAGGGACGGUAUGGGGAACGUUCACAGACUAAGUGGAAGUGGGUGGGACUCAGGUCCUGCUUAAGAUAUAGUCGGGCCCUUGAAGAAAUUUGAGGGGGUUUAAACCGUUCCGUAGGUGAACCUUCGGAAGGAUCAUUA